CAGUAGCCGCGGUAAUACGAAGGGGGCUAGCGUUAAUCAGAAUUACUGGGCGUAAAGCGUGCGCAGGCGGUUUGUUAAGACGGAUGUGAAAUCCCCGGGCUCAACCUGGGAACUGCAUUCGUGACUGGCAAGCUAGAGUAUGGCAGAGGGGGGUGGAAUUCCACGUGUAGCAGUGAAAUGCGUAGAGAUGUGGAGGAACACCGAUGGCGAAGGCAGCCCCCUGGGCCAAUACUGACGCUCAUGCACGAAAGCGUGGGGAGCAAACAGGAUUAGAUACCCGCGUAGUCCCUGUCUCUUAUAC
This 301-nucleotide ribosomal RNA is filed under the name uncultured bacterium. Its description in RNAcentral is "partial 16S ribosomal RNA". It matches the Rfam family "Bacterial small subunit ribosomal RNA", at positions 509 to 807 of the family's 1533-position model. The record is from RNAcentral.